This 72-nucleotide transfer RNA is filed under the name Bos taurus (domestic cattle). It matches the Rfam family "tRNA". From Rfam's summary of the family: Transfer RNA (tRNA) molecules are approximately 80 nucleotides in length. Lineage: Eukaryota; Metazoa; Chordata; Mammalia; Artiodactyla; Bovidae. RNAcentral also lists the same sequence under 1 other name. The record is from Rfam by way of RNAcentral.
UCCCUGAUGGCUCAAAUGGUAAAGCGUCUGCCUACAAUGCGGGAGACCCGGGUUUGAUUCCUGGUCAGGAAG